AUAUGUAAUGGGAUGUAUAAAACUACAAGUCUUGACUUCUUGCAAAUCUAGACUAAAGGUGCAAGUUUUAUAUUGCAUUUGCUUAUUCUACUAGUGUUUCGAUUCUGUGAUAGAUAUUUUUGCUAGUUGUAAAUUGUAAGAAAUGAUGAAUCGAGAUCUGUCAACUUGCACAAGGUCAAAUUACCACAAAAGAGCUCUUCUGGUGAAGAAAUCUGGUCUAGAGAUGAGCACAUAGAUAAAAUAAAAGCUUCCAAGGUGUUGAGAAUAGCGCUUGGAAAAAAUAUAGAGCAACUUGAUUAUUAUCUUGAUUGAUC
This 314-nucleotide long non-coding RNA is filed under the name Olea europaea (common olive). RNAcentral's name for it is "long non-coding RNA (OEUR_LNC013768)". The record is from RNAcentral. Lineage: Eukaryota; Viridiplantae; Streptophyta; Magnoliopsida; Lamiales; Oleaceae.